This is a long non-coding RNA of Mus musculus (house mouse), 384 nucleotides long. RefSeq annotates it as RIKEN cDNA 1700016K05 gene. Lineage: Eukaryota; Metazoa; Chordata; Mammalia; Rodentia; Muridae. The record is from RefSeq and is marked validated. The transcript is spliced from 2 exons.
GCCACUUUGCAACUGCCACUCUGCAACGGCUUCCCACACCACCAUGAUGUGGUGAAGCCAAGGGGGUCUUUGCAAGACCCUGAACAGUGUUGUUGAGAUGAUUAGACUCCAGAGCUAUGAGGUUUAAUCAGCCUCUUUGCUUUGUAAGGGAGAAAUACUAUGGAAGGAAUUUGAGGUCGGCUUCUUUGGGCAGAUGAAAUUCUUCCCGGUGUAGUCUCCUCCCCUCUUCAUUUACAACAGAAGUUAACAUCUGUGUUCCCUACUUUCCUUAGUUCUCAGACAUUUUGUCAUCUGUUACCACAACUAUUUAGUGACUCAACAAGAAUUUCCCUAAAUCACUGUGAGAUCUCAUUUGGAUUUUUAAUAAACAGUCACAUUCUAAUG